This is a non-coding RNA of Phrynosoma platyrhinos (Desert horned lizard), 72 nucleotides long. The record is from the annotation of a GenBank genome assembly. Lineage: Eukaryota; Metazoa; Chordata; Lepidosauria; Squamata; Phrynosomatidae.
GUCAGUGUGGCUUAGUGGUUUAUGUGUUGGACUGCAACUCUGGAGACCAGGGUUUGAUUCCCAGCUUGGCCA